Molecule: ribosomal RNA, 467 nt
Filed under: uncultured bacterium
Lineage: Bacteria
Description: partial 16S ribosomal RNA
Rfam family: Bacterial small subunit ribosomal RNA
Source: RNAcentral
GACGAACGCUGGCGGCGUGCUUAACACAUGCAAGUCGAACGGAAAGGCCCUGCUUUUGUGGGGUGCUCGAGUGGCGAACGGGUGAGCAACACGUGAGUAACCUGCCCUUGACUUUGGGAUAACUUCAGGAAACUGGGGCUAAUACCGGAUAGGAGCUCCUGCUGCAUGGUGGGGGUUGGAAAGUUUCGGCGGUUGGGGAUGGACUCGCGGCUUAUCAGCUUGUUGGUGGGGUAGUGGCUUACCAAGGCUUUGACGGGUAGCCGGCCUGAGAGGGUGACCGGCCACAUUGGGACUGAGAUACGGCCCAGACUCCUACGGGAGGCAGCAGUGGGGAAUAUUGCACAAUGGGCGGAAGCCUGAUGCAGAAACGCCGCGUGCGGGAUGACGGCCUUCGGGUUGUAAACCGCUUUCGCCUGUGACGAAGCGUGAGUGACGGUAAUGGGUAAAGAAACACCGGCUAACUACGC